This 4560-nucleotide long non-coding RNA is filed under the name Brassica napus (rape). Its description in RNAcentral is "long non-coding RNA (BNAP_LNC022414)". The record is from RNAcentral. Lineage: Eukaryota; Viridiplantae; Streptophyta; Magnoliopsida; Brassicales; Brassicaceae.
AAGGAUGGGUAGUAGCGGAUUAUCCCAAGUUGUUCUCCCUGAAGGCUAAACACUUUAAUCAGCUGUUUUGCAGAUCCGCUCGCGAUUAUUGGAGCGUGUCUGUGAACAGCUAAGGCCGUGAGGGAGCCCCUGUGUGCAUCAAUCGUCAGGUAUGUGUCCUUUGUUGUUCUGAGGUCAAGGAACUGUAUGUCACCGGCCUGUGACGCACUCACCACCUGAAAAUAAAAAGAACAGAUAUUCUAACCCUUCAAAAUAGGCGCGGACAUGGAAACCAAACCAAGACAAAAAUCUUCAACUCAGAGCCGAACCAAGAUUUUUAUUUUUUAAACCGAACUGUAACAAUACUCUAUCAUAGAGUCUCAAAAAGGGUGUGAAAGCUGAGAGUUCAGAGAAAAGUUUUGGCUUCCAACCUUUGCGAGAUCAAGCCCAGGCUGAAAACUGAGUCCAACCACUCUUUCAACUUUCUGAUGAGGCCGAGUCGCACAGACAAGCCUUUAAUAGGAAAAAUUAUAUCAAAUGAUGUAUUCAGUUAUUUUUGUAUAAUGGAGGAGUUCUUGUGUAAAUUUGCAGUUCAGGAAUGAACUAUAAAGCAACUUACGGUUCAGGUGACCGAAUAUCAUAGAGUCUCAAAGAUCCAUCAGCGAAACCAGCAGCAAGUUGACCCCCGUGCACUUGAGAAGCCGACUACAAAGACAACAUUAAGUAAGCAAAAUUCCCACGUUUUAUACAUAUAGACUAUCUAGAUGUAUUGUUAGUUUCUUCCUGCUAAUUUUAAGUUUGAACAACCAAUGCCAUUUGCCAAGAAUCAACAAACCCACAUAAUGUCAGUUUUUAAAUAAUAAUCAAAGAUCAGCCAACAAACAAUCAACAGGCAACCAAUGAACUGUAAUUAAAUCCGUUUAAUCGAUCAUAACCGACCGGUAGCAAAUCAUGACACUCUAGAAUGUUUCUAUGUUAUAGAUAAGAAGGUCAUGUAGACUCACAAGUGCUGUAACUCCGCACUCUGACUCAGAGGGAAUAGAUCUGAGAAGCUGUUCUUUCUCCAGGUCCCAAAGUGCGACUGUUGACACCUCCCCAGAAGCAUACUGUUAAAUACCAGAAUUCAUAAAUAACAUAAACAGGUUUUCAUAACUUCAAGGCUUCAAUCAAAUGAAACACAGCAAAGCUUGAAAAAAGUAAUUACAAACCAGGUAGCCAGACUGUUGUUGCCAGUCCACAACAGCGUUCAAGUCACGUGCACUGGGCUUGUGGCCCUGAAUUGAAGAAAACCCCGUAACAAGCUUUUGUUUACCCUUCGUUGCAUAGUUUUUCCAUAUUCGGACCGAGCCAUCACCUACCCAUAUUUCCAGAAGAUCGUGUAAACAUAAGUACCAUUUCUCAGCAGCUAUAAUCAAUCAAUUCGCAAACAGUGGCAAGAGUUAUGAAUAUUACAUGAUGCAACAAGUAGAAAAGAGUCGUCAAGUUCAUUGAUGAGGCAGAGCUUUGAAAUUCCUUUGUCAGGAAAAUCAUGAUUGUCAAAGCCAUUGAGAAGAGUUGCUUCCUCAUAGUUCCAGACUCUGAGAGGAAAAUACAGUCAAGUACUUAGUGGCGUAGAUGCAUCUCAAUAAAAUAAACUAAAAAGUCACGAAGAAGAUCAAACUUUAAGAACAGUUUUAAAGGGAAGCUUUUCUAAAUGAUUAUGCUAGACAGAGAGAUCUAAUCAAUUAGAUCUACCUUCAAAAGCGAACACCUUUUGUUUUGAGGUAACUAGACAGUACUCUGGCUAACAGGUGAACCUGAACGCAAGAAACUGAUAUAAGAUCCAGAUUUUAGCUUACCUGAUCCGUGGAACGCAUGUCCCAGUUCGCCCUCCAAGUCAAAAUGCAGAAGCAUACAGAGGCAGGAAGCAAGAUCCUACAAUGAAUGUUCUUGCUAUAUGUAACUUCGAUAUGAAGUUCAUAUAUGCAUAUGUCGGUGUACCUGGUAGAGCACAUGAUACAAAGGUCUUGACUCAUUGUGCGAGGAAUGAGGCUUCUUUCCCACAUCCUCCUCCUGGAAAGUAUUAUCUAGUUGACUCCGGAUAUCCGACGAGGACAGGUUAUCUUGGUCCGCAUCGUAAUAUGCGAUAUCAUCUUGGUCAAUUUGCUACAGGAGGACCACCAGUUAGUGCACGAGAGUUGUUUAACCGAAAGCAUUCAGGUUUGCGAUCAGCGAUUGAGAGGACAUUUGGAGUAUGGAAAGCAAAAUGGAGGAUUUUGGAUCGUAAGCAUCCAAAGUAUGGUCUGGUCAAGUGGAUUAAGCUGGUGACAGCGACGAUGGCGCUACACAACUUCAUACGUGAUUCACAUCGGGAAGAUCAUGAUUUUGUACAGUGGCAAAGUGGUGAUGGUGGAGAAGGAGAAGAAGCUGAUAGUGACGGUGAUGAAGAAGAAGAAGAAGAUGAUGAUGGUGGUGGUGGUGGACAUAUUGUAUAUGAGCCGGCCGGUGAUAGAGCGAUGGAAGCUUUGCGUGAUAACAUCACAAAUGAAUAUGUUAGAGGUCGUUUACCGUUUUAAAUUUUUUUUUUGCUUAUAACUUUGAUGAUCAUUUAUAUGUGAUAUUUAUUUAAGACUUAAUGUUUUUUCUUUUAUAAUCAACUUAAUGUAUUAUUUAGCUUUUGUUUAGUGAUAAAUAUUUUGAAGUAUUAUUUUUGUUUUAACUUAGCUUAUAUUUUUAUAUUCGUAUAUUUCACCAAAAAUUUAUAUACCAAGUAACCAUAAUAUUUUAAUGGAUGUAAAUAUAUUUAAAUUACAUUUUUUUAUUUAAAAUACAAUUUUACAAAUGUUUAAAAAUAAAAUAUGAAGAAAUAAAAAUGGCCGCAGCAUCUAUCAAACAAAUAACCCAAAAAUCUGUUUCCAGCGUCUUCUAGACGAACAAUAUUCUGCGUCGGCGUCGGUGUCGGCGUCUACGAAACGAACAGCAACUAUUUUCAUUGACUUUGACGCCGACGCCGAAAACUGCGACAACCAAACGAACAUGACCUAUAUCUAUUAUACUUCUUAUCCAAGAAAGAACAAAGAUUUAUAAAGAGAAUAAAACAGACAGGAUGUCGGUUUUUGUAUUCCCUUCCACUCUUGUUCUCUCCUUUUCGCCAGUUAAAAGUCCUAACGAGAUGAAAACCAAUGGUUGGUUUGUUUAUGAAUUUCCAUUUUUUUUUUACUUUAGUAUCAAAACUUUCCUUUAUUUUUACUUUGAUAUACUGAAUUUAUUUUGAUUUUUACUGUAGUUGAAAAAAAAAUCAAAGUACUGUGUUUGCUUGGUUUCAAAGAUUUUGAUAAACCAAAAUGAUAAUUCAAAAUUUUUACAUAUUGAGCUACCAAAAACUUUUUUUUAAGUGGGUUACCAAAAUAUCUCUUAUUUAGAUCAUGAAUGUGACCAAGAAUGAGAGCACCCCAUUCCAUGGACGGAGUUGCUCUCGUUCCACAAUUGAUAACAAUCUGCUCCAUCUACCAUAUCAUGCAGGAUAAAGAAAGGAAGAUAUAGUUGCAUUUUGUGGUUAGACCUUUCAAUGAUCGCUUCAAAUAAAAUGGACAAAUGGCAUACACCAAACGUUGAUGCAAAGCGUGAAAAUGCGAAGUGACUUGCCUAUUUCCGAAUACCAACUUGAUCAAACAAACACACAACUUUCCAAUAUACUAAUCCUUGUCACGAAAGCAAACUUUUUUUCCACAAUUACUUUUAACAUUUUGAAACAAAUUGUGAAACGGAAACGACUUUUAAGAUUUUAAUAGAAAGGAAAGAAAGCACACACCCAAUGAAACAUGCUAAAUAAAAAAGCAAAUUACGAAACAGUGAAACUAUUUACAGAUACCAUUUACUUGAGUUGGCAUAGGAAGAGAUAGAGAACUUAUUUGGCGAAGCCUCCUCCUUCAUCAGUUGUUAACUUAGAUCUCCUUUCUAAACUUCAACGGAGGCUAACGAAUACUAUAAACCACUUUACCCCCGACCCGACCCGAACUGGACUUUGUUUUGCUUCUGUUUUUCUUUUUUUAUCACAAGACCAAUGCAACAUUUUGACUUACGGUGUGCGACUCACCUUGCUUGUGAGUUGUCAUGGGUGUAUACAGAGACGAAUGAGUCCGCAGCUCCAGCUGCAAGCAGAACCUGGUACGGAUGAAAAGUGAGGCAACUCACUGAGCCAAUCUUCUGUGCCAUGAAGGAUGGGUAGUAGCGGAUUAUCCCAAGUUGUUCUCCCUGAAGGCUAAACACUUUAAUCAGCUGUUUUGCAGAUCCGCUCGCGAUUAUUGGAGCGUGUCUGUGAACAGCUAAGGCCGUGAGGGAGCCCCUGUGUGCAUCAAUCGUCAGGUAUGUGUCCUUUGUUGUUCUGAGGUCAAGGAACUGUAUGUCACCGGCCUGUGACGCACUCACCACCUGAAAAUAAAAAGAACAGAUAUUCUAACCCUUCAAAAUAGGCGCGGACAUGGAAACCAAACCAAGACAAAAAUCUUCAACUCAGAGCCGAACCAAGAUUUUUAUUUUUUAAACCGAACUGUAACAAUACUCUAUCAUAGAGUCUCAAAAAGGGUGUGAAAGCUGAGAGUU